Molecule: ribosomal RNA, 387 nt
Filed under: uncultured bacterium
Lineage: Bacteria
Description: bacterial SSU rRNA
Rfam family: Bacterial small subunit ribosomal RNA
Source: RNAcentral
AUUGAACGCUGGCGGCAUGCCUAACACAUGCAAGUCGAACGGAGAUAGGGGCAACCUUAUUUCAGUGGCGGACGGGUGAGGAAUGCGUCGGAAUCUGCCCUAUGGGUGGGGGAGUAACACAGGGAAACGUUAGUGCUAAUACCGCAUAAUGUCGAGAGACCAAAGCAGGGGACCGGCAAGGCCUUGCGCGAUAGGAUGAGCCGACGCCCGAUUAGCUAGUUGGUAGGGUAAAGGGACCUACCAAGGCGGACGAUCGGUAGCUGGUCUGAGAGGAUGAUCAGCCACACUGGGACGUGAGACACGGCCCAGACUCCUACGGGAGGCAGCAGUGGGGAAUAUUGGACAAUGGGCGGCAAGCCUGAUCCAGCAAUAGCCGCGUGUGUGAAG